This 520-nucleotide ribosomal RNA is filed under the name uncultured Glomus. RNAcentral's name for it is "SSU rRNA". It matches the Rfam family "Eukaryotic small subunit ribosomal RNA", at positions 569 to 1092 of the family's 1831-position model. The record is from RNAcentral. Lineage: Eukaryota; Fungi; Glomeromycota; Glomeromycetes; Glomerales; Glomeraceae.
AGCAGCCGCGGUAAUUCCAGCUCCAAUAGCGUAUAUUAAAGUUGUUGCAGUUAAAAAGCUCGUAGUUGAAUUUCGGGAUCAAUACGUCGGUCGUGCUUCGGUACGUACUGGCGUAAUUGAUUUCUCCCUCUGACGAACCAUGAUGUCAUUAACUUGGUGUCAUGGGAAAUCAGGACUGUUACUUUGAAAAAAUUAGAGUGUUUAAAGCAGGCUCACGCUUGAAUACAUUAGCAUGGAAUAAUGAAAUAGGACGUUCGAUCCUAUUUUGUUGGUUUUUAGGAUCAACGUAAUAUUAAUAGGGAUAGUUGGGGGUCAUUAGUAUUCAAUUGUCAGAGGUGAAAUUCUUGGAUUUAUUGAAGACUAACUACUGCGAAAGCAUUUGCCAAGGAUGUUUUCAUUAAUCAAGAACGAAAGUUAGGGGAUCGAAGACGAUCAGAUACCGUCGUAGUCUUAACCAUAAACUAUGCCGACUAGGGAUCGGAUGAUGUUAAUUUUUUAAUGACUCAUUCGGCGCCUUACG